GGAGUAAUGCCUUAUAAGAUACGUUUGUCGCAUGGCAUUUGUAUUAAACGCUCCGGCGCCAUAGGAUGGACCCGCGUCCCAUUAGCUAGUUGGUGAGAUAACAGCUCACCAAGGCCACGAUGGGUAACCGGUCUGAGAGGGCGAACGGUCACACUGGAACUGAGACACGGUCCAGACUCCUACGGGAGGCAGCAGUGGGGAAUAUUGCGCAAUGGGGGCAACCCUGACGCAGCAAUACCGCGUGAGUGAAGAAGGUUUUCGGAUCGUAAAGCUCUGUUAUUGGGGAAGAAAAAAAGACGGUACCCAAGAAGAAAGUUCCGGCUAACUACGUGCCAGCAGCCGCGGUAAUACGUAGGGAACAAGCGUUGUCCGGAUUUACUGGGCGUAAAGGGCACGCAGGCGGUUUUUAAGUCAGAUGUGAAAGGCCACAGCUCAACUGUGGACAUGCAUUUGAAACUGAAAGACUUGAGUAUUGGAGAGGCAAGUGGAAUUCCUAGUGUAGCGGUGAAAUGCGUAGAUAUUAGGAGGAACACUGGAGGCGAAGGCGGCUUGCUGGACAAAUACUGACG
RNAcentral lists this ribosomal RNA (569 nucleotides) under uncultured bacterium. RNAcentral describes it as "bacterial SSU rRNA". It matches the Rfam family "Bacterial small subunit ribosomal RNA", at positions 160 to 745 of the family's 1533-position model. The record is from RNAcentral.